AUUAAACGCUGGCGGCAUGCCUUACACAUGCAAGUCGAACGGUAGCGCGGGGCAACCUGGUGGCGAGUGGCGAACGGGUGAGUAAUACAUCGGAAUGUACCCAGUAGUGGGGGAUAACUAGUCGAAAGAUUAGCUAAUACCGCAUACGCACUAUGGUGGAAAGCGGGGGAUCGCAAGACCUCGCGCUAUUGGAGCAGCCGAUGUCCGAUUAGGUAGUUGGUGGGGUAAAGGCCUACCAAGCCUGCGAUCGGUAACUGGUCUGAGAGGACGACCAGUCACACUGGGACUGAGACACGGCCCAGACUCCUACGGGAGGCAGCAGUGGGGAAUUUUGGACAAUGGGGGAAACCCUGAUCCAGCAAUGCCGCGUGC
RNAcentral lists this ribosomal RNA (372 nucleotides) under uncultured bacterium. RNAcentral's name for it is "bacterial SSU rRNA". It matches the Rfam family "Bacterial small subunit ribosomal RNA", at positions 30 to 404 of the family's 1533-position model. The record is from RNAcentral.